UUUGUCUCACGGCACACCCGGGGAAACCCGGGGUCGCAAAGCCACGAGGCUACCGCCGGGCAACCGGCCACGCCAGUCGAGCCGCCAAA
This 89-nucleotide non-coding RNA is filed under the name Nitrospirota bacterium. Its description in RNAcentral is "Nitrospirae bacterium c-di-GMP sequence". It matches the Rfam family "c-di-GMP-I riboswitch aptamer". From Rfam's summary of the family: GEMM was predicted in a large-scale screen for bacterial structured RNA regulatory elements. Genes associated with GEMM are involved in a diverse array of functions, including chemotaxis regulation, signal transduction, secretion and chitin. Lineage: Bacteria; Pseudomonadati; Nitrospirota. The record is from RNAcentral.